GUCCUUUUGAAGACAUUCGAUAAAAUUGAAACAAUACAAAGAAGAUGAACACGUGUUGCAUAAGGAUAAGGAUGACAUGAACAAAUUCAGAAAUAGUCUUGCUUUUU
RNAcentral lists this small nuclear RNA (107 nucleotides) under Ipomoea nil (Japanese morning glory). The record is from RNAcentral. Lineage: Eukaryota; Viridiplantae; Streptophyta; Magnoliopsida; Solanales; Convolvulaceae.